Long non-coding RNA from Dromiciops gliroides (monito del monte), 707 nucleotides. RefSeq lists it as uncharacterized. The record is from RefSeq and is a predicted model, not a curated record. The transcript is spliced from 4 exons. NCBI's taxonomy places the organism in Eukaryota, Metazoa, Chordata, Mammalia, Microbiotheria, Microbiotheriidae.
CUUCGAAGGAGGUAGAGAGAGGUGAGGGAACAAGAGGCAGAGAAGCCGCUGAAGGGAGGGCCCUGCAGAGAGGGAAUGGCCAAGUUGAAGUCAUCAGAUUGCAGCAGAUAUGCCAGACAGGAUGCUUUAAUCCAAAAGAUGAAGGAUAUGGUCCUCGUAUAGCAGUGAUCCUUCCACAAGAGAAUAAGGUCCAUGAAGUUGCUGAGCAACAAGGAGGAGGUCCCGGUGUUAUUCACUGGCUUGGUGCCUAUUAAAGUGCUGGCCAUGUGCAUCUUCCUGGGCAAACAAAAUCUUCUCAUGGAGUUCCCUGAUCCAGCUCUGAAGGCCUCGGGAGGAAGAACUGACAGAUGGAGACACAGGGACAGAAUGUUAAAGUCGAUUCUGCGUUCCUUUGCCUCCACCGCCUCCAGCACUCUCUGCACCAGGAUUUUUUAUUAAUGUCAAAGCAGGACCCCUGGAACCCAGCAGAUGGACUUCACCGGGAACUGACUACCUCUUAAAAAUGAACAUUCUUGGGUUUGGAUUGAGAACUGUUUGCAACAUGGACUUUGGGAGAAGGAAAACACCACAUGUCAAGGGUCAAUCAAUCAAUCAAUAGUAUUUAUUAAGCACCUACAGUGUACUGGUCACUGUGUGAGUAAGGACAGCUAGGUGGUACAGUGGAUAGAGCACUGGCCCUGAAGUUGGGAGGACCUGAGUUCAAAUCU